AGGCAGCAGUGAGGAAUAUUGGUCAAUGGGCGCNAGCCUGAACCAGCCACGUCGCGUGAAGGAAGACGGCCCUACGGGUUGUAAACUUCUUUUGCAAGGGAAUAAAGUUGUCCACGCGUGGCNUUUUGCAUGUACCUUACGAAUAAGGAUCGGCUAACUCCGUGCCAGCAGCCGCGGUAAUACGGAGGAUCCGAGCGUUAUCCGGAUUUAUUGGGUUUAAAGGGUGCUCAGGCGGGUGANUAAGUCGGCGGCGAAAUUUUGCGGCUCAACCGUAAANGUGCCUUCGAAACUGUUUUCCUUGAGUGUGGAUGAGGUAGGCGGAAUUUGUGGUGUAGCGGUGAAAUGCAUAGAUAUCACGAGGAACUCCGAUUGCGCAGGCAGCUUACUGAGCCAUNACUGACGCUCAAGCACGAAAGGCGUGGGGAUCAAACAGGAUUAGAUACCCCUGGUAGUCCCACC
RNAcentral lists this ribosomal RNA (459 nucleotides) under uncultured bacterium. RNAcentral describes it as "bacterial SSU rRNA". It matches the Rfam family "Bacterial small subunit ribosomal RNA", at positions 346 to 800 of the family's 1533-position model. The record is from RNAcentral.